RNAcentral lists this ribosomal RNA (483 nucleotides) under Mycobacterium sp. enrichment culture clone 314. RNAcentral's name for it is "bacterial SSU rRNA". It matches the Rfam family "Bacterial small subunit ribosomal RNA", at positions 151 to 633 of the family's 1533-position model. The record is from RNAcentral. Lineage: Bacteria; Bacillati; Actinomycetota; Actinomycetes; Mycobacteriales; Mycobacteriaceae.
UUAAACUGGGGGGUCAAUACCGGAUAGGACCACGGGAUGCAUGUCUUGUGGUGGAAAGCGCUUUAGCGGUGUGGGAUGAGCCCGCGGCCUAUCAGCUUGUUGGUGGGGUGACGGCCUACCAAGGCGACGACGGGUAGCCGGCCUGAGAGGGUGUCCGGCCACACUGGGACUGAGAUACGGCCCAGACUCCUACGGGAGGCAGCAGUGGGGAAUAUUGCACAAUGGGCGCAAGCCUGAUGCAGCGACGCCGCGUGGGGGAUGACGGCCUUCGGGUUGUAAACCUCUUUCACCAUCGACGAAGGUCCGGGUUCUCUCGGAUUGACGGUAGGUGGAGAAGAAGCACCGGCCAACUACGUGCCAGCAGCUGCGGUAAUACGUAGGGUGCGAGCGUUGUCCGGAAUUACUGGGCGUAAAGAGCUCGUAGGUGGUUUGUCGCGUUGUUCGUGAAAUCUCACGGCUUAACUGUGAGCGUGCGGGCGAGCC